UCAGGACGAACGCUGGCGGCGUGCUUAACACAUGCAAGUCGAACGAUGAAGCCUUCGGGUGGAUUAGUGGCGAACGGGUGAGUAACACGUGGGCAGUCUGCCCUGCACUCUGGGACAAGCCCUGGAAACGGGGUCUAAUACCGGAUAAUACUGUGCCCCUCAUGGGGGACGGUUGAAAGCUCCGGCGGUGCAGGAUGAGCCCGCGGCCUAUCAGCUUGUUGGUGGGGUAAUGGCCUACCAAGGCGACGACGGGUAGCCGGCCUGAGAGGGCGACCGGCCACACUGGGACUGAGACACGGCCCAGACUCCUACGGGAGGCAGCAGUGGGGAAUAUUGCACAAUGGGCGAAAGCCUGAUGCAGCGACGCCGCGUGAGGGAUGACGGCCUUCGGGUUGUAAACCUCUUUCAGCAGGGAAGAAGCGAAAGUGACGGUACCUGCAGAAGAAGCGCCGGCUAACUACGUGCCAGCAGCCGCGGUAAUACGUAGGGCGCAAGCGUUGUCCGGAAUUAUUGGGCGUAAAGAGCUCGUAGGCGGUCUGUCACGUCGGGUGUGAAAGCCCGGGGCUUAACCCCGGGUC
Molecule: ribosomal RNA, 578 nt
Filed under: Streptomyces sp. ACM5
Lineage: Bacteria; Bacillati; Actinomycetota; Actinomycetes; Kitasatosporales; Streptomycetaceae
Description: bacterial SSU rRNA
Rfam family: Bacterial small subunit ribosomal RNA
Source: RNAcentral